GGGGAUAACACUUGGAAACAGGUGCUAAUACCGUAUAACACUAUUUUCCGCAUGGAAGAAAGUUGAAAGGCGCUUUGCGCCACUGAUGGAUGGACCCGCGGUGCAUUAGCUAGUUGGUGAGGUAACGGCUCACCAAGGCCACGAUGCAUAGCCGACCUGAGAGGGUGAUCGGCCACACUGGGACUGAGACACGGCCCAGACUCCUACGGGAGGCAGCAGUAGGGAAUCUUCGGCAAUGGACGAAAGUCUGACCGAGCAACGCCGCGUGAGUGAAGAAGGUUUUCGGAUCGUAAAACUCUGUUGUUAGAGAAGAACAAGGAUGAGAGUAAAACGUUCAUCCCUUGACGGUAUCUAACCAGAAAGCCACGGCUAACUACGUGCCAGCAGCCGCGGUAAUACGUAGGUGGCAAGCGUUGUCCGGAUUUAUUGGGCGUAAAGCGAGCGCAGGCGGUUUCUUAAGUCUGAUGUGAAAGCCCCCGGCUCAACCGGGGAGGGUCAUUGGAAACUGGGAGACUUGAGUGCAGAAGAGGAGAGUGGAAUUCCAUGUGUAGCGGUGAAAUGCGUAGAUAUAUGGAGGAACACCAGUGGCGAAGGCGGCUCUCUGGUCUGUAACUGACGCUGAGGCUCGAAAGCGUGGGGAGCGAACAGGAUUAGAUACCCU
This 661-nucleotide ribosomal RNA is filed under the name uncultured bacterium. RNAcentral describes it as "bacterial SSU rRNA". It matches the Rfam family "Bacterial small subunit ribosomal RNA", at positions 139 to 788 of the family's 1533-position model. The record is from RNAcentral.